Molecule: ribosomal RNA, 253 nt
Filed under: uncultured prokaryote
Description: partial 16S ribosomal RNA
Rfam family: Bacterial small subunit ribosomal RNA
Source: RNAcentral
UACGAAGGUGGCAAGCGUUACUCGGAAUUACUAGGCGUAAAGGGCAGGUAGGUGGUGUGGAAAGUCUGUUGUGUAAGCUCCCGGCUUAACCGGGAGAGGUCAACAGAAACUACCAUGCUGGAGUAUAGGAGAGGGUACUGGAAUUCCCGGUGUAGCGGUGAAAUGCGCAGAGAUCGGGAGGAACACCAAUGGCGAAAGCAGGUACCUGGACUAUUACUGACACUGAGCUGCGAAAGCUAGGGGAGCAAACAGG